Molecule: ribosomal RNA, 2352 nt
Filed under: Escherichia coli
Lineage: Bacteria; Pseudomonadati; Pseudomonadota; Gammaproteobacteria; Enterobacterales; Enterobacteriaceae
Description: bacterial LSU rRNA
Rfam family: Bacterial large subunit ribosomal RNA
Source: RNAcentral
GUGACUGCGUACCUUUUGUAUAAUGGGUCAGCGACUUAUAUUCUGUAGCAAGGUUAACCGAAUAGGGGAGCCGAAGGGAAACCGAGUCUUAACUGGGCGUUAAGUUGCAGGGUAUAGACCCGAAACCCGGUGAUCUAGCCAUGGGCAGGUUGAAGGUUGGGUAACACUAACUGGAGGACCGAACCGACUAAUGUUGAAAAAUUAGCGGAUGACUUGUGGCUGGGGGUGAAAGGCCAAUCAAACCGGGAGAUAGCUGGUUCUCCCCGAAAGCUAUUUAGGUAGCGCCUCGUGAAUUCAUCUCCGGGGGUAGAGCACUGUUUCGGCAAGGGGGUCAUCCCGACUUACCAACCCGAUGCAAACUGCGAAUACCGGAGAAUGUUAUCACGGGAGACACACGGCGGGUGCUAACGUCCGUCGUGAAGAGGGAAACAACCCAGACCGCCAGCUAAGGUCCCAAAGUCAUGGUUAAGUGGGAAACGAUGUGGGAAGGCCCAGACAGCCAGGAUGUUGGCUUAGAAGCAGCCAUCAUUUAAAGAAAGCGUAAUAGCUCACUGGUCGAGUCGGCCUGCGCGGAAGAUGUAACGGGGCUAAACCAUGCACCGAAGCUGCGGCAGCGACGCUUAUGCGUUGUUGGGUAGGGGAGCGUUCUGUAAGCCUGUGAAGGUGUGCUGUGAGGCAUGCUGGAGGUAUCAGAAGUGCGAAUGCUGACAUAAGUAACGAUAAAGCGGGUGAAAAGCCCGCUCGCCGGAAGACCAAGGGUUCCUGUCCAACGUUAAUCGGGGCAGGGUGAGUCGACCCCUAAGGCGAGGCCGAAAGGCGUAGUCGAUGGGAAACAGGUUAAUAUUCCUGUACUUGGUGUUACUGCGAAGGGGGGACGGAGAAGGCUAUGUUGGCCGGGCGACGGUUGUCCCGGUUUAAGCGUGUAGGCUGGUUUUCCAGGCAAAUCCGGAAAAUCAAGGCUGAGGCGUGAUGACGAGGCACUACGGUGCUGAAGCAACAAAUGCCCUGCUUCCAGGAAAAGCCUCUAAGCAUCAGGUAACAUCAAAUCGUACCCCAAACCGACACAGGUGGUCAGGUAGAGAAUACCAAGGCGCUUGAGAGAACUCGGGUGAAGGAACUAGGCAAAAUGGUGCCGUAACUUCGGGAGAAGGCACGCUGAUAUGUAGGUGAAGUCCCUCGCGGAUGGAGCUGAAAUCAGUCGAAGAUACCAGCUGGCUGCAACUGUUUAUUAAAAACACAGCACUGUGCAAACACGAAAGUGGACGUAUACGGUGUGACGCCUGCCCGGUGCCGGAAGGUUAAUUGAUGGGGUCAGCGCAAGCGAAGCUCUUGAUCGAAGCCCCGGUAAACGGCGGCCGUAACUAUAACGGUCCUAAGGUAGCGAAAUUCCUUGUCGGGUAAGUUCCGACCUGCACGAAUGGCGUAAUGAUGGCCAGGCUGUCUCCACCCGAGACUCAGUGAAAUUGAACUCGCUGUGAAGAUGCAGUGUACCCGCGGCAAGACGGAAAGACCCCGUGAACCUUUACUAUAGCUUGACACUGAACAUUGAGCCUUGAUGUGUAGGAUAGGUGGGAGGCUUUGAAGUGUGGACGCCAGUCUGCAUGGAGCCGACCUUGAAAUACCACCCUUUAAUGUUUGAUGUUCUAACGUUGACCCGUAAUCCGGGUUGCGGACAGUGUCUGGUGGGUAGUUUGACUGGGGCGGUCUCCUCCUAAAGAGUAACGGAGGAGCACGAAGGUUGGCUAAUCCUGGUCGGACAUCAGGAGGUUAGUGCAAUGGCAUAAGCCAGCUUGACUGCGAGCGUGACGGCGCGAGCAGGUGCGAAAGCAGGUCAUAGUGAUCCGGUGGUUCUGAAUGGAAGGGCCAUCGCUCAACGGAUAAAAGGUACUCCGGGGAUAACAGGCUGAUACCGCCCAAGAGUUCAUAUCGACGGCGGUGUUUGGCACCUCGAUGUCGGCUCAUCACAUCCUGGGGCUGAAGUAGGUCCCAAGGGUAUGGCUGUUCGCCAUUUAAAGUGGUACGCGAGCUGGGUUUAGAACGUCGUGAGACAGUUCGGUCCCUAUCUGCCGUGGGCGCUGGAGAACUGAGGGGGGCUGCUCCUAGUACGAGAGGACCGGAGUGGACGCAUCACUGGUGUUCGGGUUGUCAUGCCAAUGGCACUGCCCGGUAGCUAAAUGCGGAAGAGAUAAGUGCUGAAAGCAUCUAAGCACGAAACUUGCCCCGAGAUGAGUUCUCCCUGACUCCUUGAGAGUCCUGAAGGAACGUUGAAGACGACGACGUUGAUAGGCCGGGUGUGUAAGCGCAGCGAUGCGUUGAGCUAACCGGUACUAAUGAACCGUGAGGCUUAACCUU